This 417-nucleotide ribosomal RNA is filed under the name uncultured bacterium. Its description in RNAcentral is "bacterial SSU rRNA". It matches the Rfam family "Bacterial small subunit ribosomal RNA", at positions 362 to 776 of the family's 1533-position model. The record is from RNAcentral.
UAUUGGUCAAUGGCCGGAAGGCUGAACCAGCCAAGCCGCGUGAGGGAAGACGGUCCUACGGAUUGUAAACCUCUUUUGCCGGGGAGCAGGGCGGCGGACGUGUCCGCCGUUUGAGAGUACCCGGAGAAAAAGCAUCGGCUAACUCCGUGCCAGCAGCCGCGGUAAUACGGAGGAUGCGAGCGUUAUCCGGAUUUAUUGGGUUUAAAGGGUGCGUAGGCGGGCUUUUAAGUCAGCGGUAAAAAUUCGGGGCUCAACCCCGUCCGGCCGUUGAAACUGGGGGCCUUGAGUGGGCGAGAAGAAGGCGGAAUGCGUGGUGUAGCGGUGAAAUGCAUAGAUAUCACGCAGAACCCCGAUUGCGAAGGCAGCCUUCCGGCGCCCUACUGACGCUGAAGCACGAAAGCGUGGGUAUCGAACAGG